This 127-nucleotide ribosomal RNA is filed under the name Vibrio cholerae. RNAcentral describes it as "Large Subunit Ribosomal RNA; lsuRNA; LSU rRNA". It matches the Rfam family "Bacterial large subunit ribosomal RNA", at positions 2759 to 2882 of the family's 2925-position model. The record is from RNAcentral. Lineage: Bacteria; Pseudomonadati; Pseudomonadota; Gammaproteobacteria; Vibrionales; Vibrionaceae.
UUGAUAAGCGCUGAAAGCAUCUAAGCGCGAAGCGAGCCCUGAGAUGAGUCUUCCCUGAUACUUUAAGUAUCCUAAAGGGUUGUUCGAGACUAGAACGUUGAUAGGCAGGGUGUGUAAGCGUUGUGAG